AUUGAACGCUGGCGGCAGGCCUAACACAUGCAAGUCGAACGCGUGGCGGACGGGUGAGUAAUGUCUGGAAAUCUGCCUGAUGGAGGGGGAUCACUACUGGAAACGGUAGCUAAUACCGCAUACCCUCGGGUUUGCCCAAGUGGGAUUCGCUAGUAGGGGGGGGAAAGGCUCACCUAGGCGACGACCCCUAGCUGGUCUGAGAGGAUGACCAGCCACACUGGAACUGAGACACGGUCCAGACUCCUACGGGAGGCAGCAGUGGGGAAUAUUGCACAAUGGGCGCAAGCCUGAUGCAGCCAUGCCGCGUGUAUGAAGAAGGCCUUCGGGUGGUAAAGUACUUUCAGCGGGGAGGCGUUACCCGCAGAAGAAGCACCGGCUAACUCCGUGCCAGCAGCCGCGGUAAUAC
This 406-nucleotide ribosomal RNA is filed under the name uncultured bacterium. RNAcentral's name for it is "partial 16S ribosomal RNA". It matches the Rfam family "Bacterial small subunit ribosomal RNA", at positions 30 to 526 of the family's 1533-position model. The record is from RNAcentral.